This 417-nucleotide ribosomal RNA is filed under the name uncultured eukaryote. RNAcentral describes it as "bacterial SSU rRNA". It matches the Rfam family "Eukaryotic small subunit ribosomal RNA", at positions 592 to 1013 of the family's 1831-position model. The record is from RNAcentral.
CAAUAGCGUAUAUUAAAGUUGUUGCGGUUAAAAAGCUCGUAGUUGGAUUUCUGCUGAGGACGACCGGUCCGCCCUCCGGGUGAGCAUCUGGUUCGGCCUUGGCAUCUUCUUGGUGAACGUAUCUGCACUUGACUGUGUGGUGCGGUACCCAGGACUUUUACUUUGAGGAAAUUAGAGUGUUUCAAGCAGGCAUACGCCUUGAAUACAUUAGCAUGGAAUAAUAGAAUAGGACUUUUGCCUCUUCUGUUGGUCUGAGGGGUCGAAGUAAUGAUUAAUAGGGAUAGUUGGGGGCAUUAGUACUUAACUGUCAGAGGUGAAAUUCUUGGAUUUGUUAAAGACUAACUUAUGCGAAAGCAUUUGCCAAGGAUGUUUUUCAUUAAUCAAGAACGAAAGUUAGGGGAUCAAAGAUGAUCAGAU